This is a long non-coding RNA of Oncorhynchus tshawytscha (Chinook salmon), 607 nucleotides long. Lineage: Eukaryota; Metazoa; Chordata; Actinopteri; Salmoniformes; Salmonidae. The record is from Ensembl.
CUCACCUUGCAUAUUCUGUUCAUAUGAAUCGCCAUAAUGUAAAUGUGGUUUUAAGUCGUUAUGAGCACCGUGGAAGGACGUCCUAAUCAGGUUACGCACCCAAAGCGUAUGGGUCUGGUAAAUGUCUCAAACGUCUGGUAAAUGUAAGUGCUGCCGGCCAAAUGUCCGGUCACACACACACACACACAGCCAUUAGUCAUAAAGUUGGAGGCACAGAACAGAGGAACAGACAGAUGCGUUGUCCUGAUCUUUCUCCAAAGCAGCUUUAGUCAUACUGGACAUGACUUUGUGAAUUGCAAUGUUUGAAUUGCAAUGUUUGAAUUGCAAUGUUUGUGGCAAAUAACAAAACUCAUGCUGUAUAACACAGUGGCAGGUAGCCUAGUGGUGAAGUGACAGGUAGCCUAGUGGUUAAGUGACAGGUAGCCUAGUGGUGAAGUGGCAGGUAGCCUAGUGGUGAAGUGGCAGGUAGCCUAGUGGUGAAGUGGCAGGUAGCCUAGUGGUGAAGUGGCAGGUAGCCUAGUGGUUAAGUGGCAGGUAGCCUAGUGGUUAAGUGGCAGGUAGCCUAGUGGUUAAGUGGCAGGUAGCCUAGUGGUUAAGUGGCAGGUAG